This 679-nucleotide ribosomal RNA is filed under the name Escherichia coli. RNAcentral describes it as "bacterial LSU rRNA". It matches the Rfam family "Bacterial large subunit ribosomal RNA", at positions 612 to 1290 of the family's 2925-position model. The record is from RNAcentral. Lineage: Bacteria; Pseudomonadati; Pseudomonadota; Gammaproteobacteria; Enterobacterales; Enterobacteriaceae.
AUAAUGGGUCAGCGACUUAUAUUCUGUAGCAAGGUUAACCGAAUAGGGGAGCCGAAGGGAAACCGAGUCUUAACUGGGCGUUAAGUUGCAGGGUAUAGACCCGAAACCCGGUGAUCUAGCCAUGGGCAGGUUGAAGGUUGGGUAACACUAACUGGAGGACCGAACCGACUAAUGUUGAAAAAUUAGCGGAUGACUUGUGGCUGGGGGUGAAAGGCCAAUCAAACCGGGAGAUAGCUGGUUCUCCCCGAAAGCUAUUUAGGUAGCGCCUCGUGAAUUCAUCUCCGGGGGUAGAGCACUGUUUCGGCAAGGGGGUCAUCCCGACUUACCAACCCGAUGCAAACUGCGAAUACCGGAGAAUGUUAUCACGGGAGACACACGGCGGGUGCUAACGUCCGUCGUGAAGAGGGAAACAACCCAGACCGCCAGCUAAGGUCCCAAAGUCAUGGUUAAGUGGGAAACGAUGUGGGAAGGCCCAGACAGCCAGGAUGUUGGCUUAGAAGCAGCCAUCAUUUAAAGAAAGCGUAAUAGCUCACUGGUCGAGUCGGCCUGCGCGGAAGAUGUAACGGGGCUAAACCAUGCACCGAAGCUGCGGCAGCGACGCUUAUGCGUUGUUGGGUAGGGGAGCGUUCUGUAAGCCUGCGAAGGUGUGCUGUGAGGCAUGCUGGAGGUAUCAGAAGUG